AGUCCUACACCUACAAUACAUUGAGUACAAUAGUAUCAGUCAUUAUACCCAUAAAACCUAGCGCUAAACCCCGGAAAUAGUUCUAAUAUUUUUUAAACAUUAAUUUUUGCGUCUGGGAUUUUAGAACUAUUUCAUAUAAACUCUGUGUUUCAUAUUGGCUUAACCUGGCACGACAUUUUGGAUAACCGCGCAAAUCUCUCAGACAUGGUAAAUUGUAUCUAUAUAUUCACGGGUAAUUACCUCCCAAAAUGAAAUGCCAAUGGGACUUUCAUAAAGAACUACACGUCUUGUCGCAAAGUAUGACGUCAAACCCUCAAGGCACCGUUCUCCACGCAAACUCAUCGACAAGUAGCCUAGCAAGAAACAGAUAUUAUAGGCGUUUCAGUUUCUCGUGUGUAUAUCGUUCAGCAUUUUUUUUAAAUUGCAUAGCUUGCUACCUUAGCGUCUUUAAAUGACUAUAAUUUAUUAAGUUACCCUCUGCCUUUGUAGAUAACUAGCUGUGCUAUGUAACGUUACCGGAUUGUAACCACUACUCCAAUAAGUACAUGUUAUCCAACCUCUAAGUGAGAGGCAUCGCUAGAGCUGUGUGAUAAGAUGGACGGACCGGAAACCCAGUGACAACACUCGAGUCUGUAGCUGCCAUUUUCCAGUGGGAAAGAGAUGGCUCUGUAUUUACCAGAGGAGGUAGUUCAUCCAUCAUGGUGGAUGAGGAAGAUCCAGACUGUGUAUAGGCAAACAAGAACAAACAAAUAGGAUUGAGUGUCCAACAGGAGUGAAUCCCCCAGGCUAUCCGGUGCAUGGACAUCCUGUGGCAGUGUGAUCCGGUUGUGGAGACGACAGCAGAUCGAGCCUGUGGACAGACAGACAGGAGGUGUGACAUGUGAAACAUCAGGCGCUCACCAUGAGAAGCAGUGCAUGAUCAACACCAGCCUCAGCAAGGAGAUCUUGUCACGGCUGUUGAAGGGGGAGGACCAAGGUGCAACGUGGUGAGCGUACAUAUUCUUUAUUAUUAUCACGUCGACAAUAAACACUACAAAAUAAAGCUAUGUGCCCUAAACAAAGUCAACUUCCCACAAAGAAAGGAGGGGAAAAAGUGAUACCUACGUAUGAUUCCCAAUCAGAGACAACGAUAGACAGCUGUCCCUGAUUGAGAGCCGUACCCGGCCAAAACAUAGAAACACCAAAUCAUAGAAAACGAAACAUAGAAUGCCCACCCCAAAUCACACCCAUACCAAACCAAAUAGAGACAUUAAAAGGCUCUCUACGGUCAGGGCGUGACAGAUCUGCUGGAAGUGAUGUACUCUCUCACUCCGGGGGUAAGACAUAAUUUAAACAUCACAGAUAAAAAAAAAUCCCACUGUGCCCAUGAUAAAAUUCAAUGUGAGUUCUGAAUGAACCUGAGGAGGUGCAGCACCAGGGCUGGGCGGUAUAUCGUGUUUUACUAUAUACCGGUAUUAAUUCAGGACCUUUUUUUCGUCAUUACCACUGCUCCAUCAUUGCUUUCGUCAACCUCCCUCUCCUCAUGGUGUACCAGUUGCGAAUGGUGCGCUGUCCAACGGUUUUCUGCUGCUCCACCGACAACGCCACGUCAGCCAGGAUGCCUGCACGCCCCAGGUGCCCUGGUUUUUUUAAACAAUAUCAGGCACAGACAGGGAUGACAGGGAGGGUAGCGAUUGUUCUGGCUCAGGUUCAACAAGACAUGCGUUUCCACUGAACCUGCCCCGGAGAUGGUUCCUUACCCACUAACGAUCUCGUGACAGACGGUUGUAGUCUUUGGCCAGGUAAAGUUCCAUUGACUGCACCUGGUUGGGCACGGCUGGCUUCCUCCACUCGCAUUCUACAUCCGUAUGGCCGAUAUUGUGAACCGCUAAAAAGGCUGCAUGGCUCCACUUUUGAGCUCCAUGGAGCCAUUCGUAUGUGG
Oncorhynchus masou masou (cherry salmon) is the source of this 1921-nucleotide long non-coding RNA. RefSeq lists it as uncharacterized. Lineage: Eukaryota; Metazoa; Chordata; Actinopteri; Salmoniformes; Salmonidae. The transcript is spliced from 4 exons. The record is from RefSeq and is a predicted model, not a curated record.